UACAGAGGGUGCAAGCGUUGCUCGGAAUUACUGGGCGUAAAGCGUGCGCAGGCGGUUUUGUAAGCCAGAUGUGAAAGCCCCGGGCUUAACCUGGGAAUGGCAUUUGGGACUGCAAGGCUUGAGUGCGGCAGAGGAGACUGGAAUUCCCGGUGUAGCAGUGAAAUGCGUAGAUAUCGGGAGGAAUACCGAUGGCGAAGGCAGGUCUCUGGGCUGACACUGACGCUCAUGCACGAAAGCGUGGGGAGCAAACAGG
Molecule: ribosomal RNA, 253 nt
Filed under: uncultured bacterium
Lineage: Bacteria
Description: partial 16S ribosomal RNA
Rfam family: Bacterial small subunit ribosomal RNA
Source: RNAcentral